UUUUAAGAAUUUUUGCAACAGCUGGUUCACUGCUGCAUGAGUCCGUGUUGCCGACCACACUGAUAACGUAGCUCUCCCCACAGGAUAGUUGGUUAAAGGUGCAGUUGGAGCUGCUGGAGUUGCAGGUGGUGUUCAUUCCUCUGCUGUCCACCGCUGUCACCUCCUGGGUCUGGUCUGGUCCUGAGUUACCCCAGGUCACUGAUACCAUGUUAGUGCUGCACUCCAGAUUCCCCAACACCCCAUAUGGUUUACAUGGGGCUGAGGGUAAAAAGGUGGAUGAAUAAGAGAUAUAACUCUGUGGGUCGACUGACACAGGUGCUGUUGAAAGACAUCACUUUCAGUCCGUAAUCGAGUCCACACUUCAUUGUGGUGAUUGUCAGUCCCGGCAUCGUGGUGGUGUAGGACAUGUUCCAAUCGCCGUUUGAGACCACAACUAUGUAACCUUCUGCGUUACUCGUUGCAUUCCAGCUGAGAGUCAGUAUUUGUGACCCGCAGUCUAAUUUAGUGAUCACUUUGGGCCCACAAGGAACUGCACAGAGAGAAGAGAGAAAGUUUUAUUCAUUUCAAAGGACACCCUAGCAGCUAUACGGUACAGUAACCCAGAAAAACAAAAUUGAGCAGCCUCACAGUACCUGUCUCUAUGGCGACCAUCUCACUGUCAGUGCUGUUGCACACAAAGUUGGUGGCAAUGACGUACGCUGUGUAGUUUGUGCUGCACUUCAAGCCCUUGAUCUUACAUGUCAAGUCCAUGGCAUUGCAGCUGUGAAUGACACCAUUACUGUCUUUUGCCAUGGCGAUGUAGAAAAUUGCCCCGCUGGACAUUAACCAUGUCAAUGUGAUGGAGUCGGCUCCACAUUCCUUUACUGCUGAUACGUUCUGGGGCACGCAUGGGACUAGAGGAGAGGUGACAAAUCAACACAAGAAUGAAUACUACAUUUAAACCUUUUCUCUGCUGCACGUGGUCAGAGUUGAGUUUGCUAGUCCAUCCCGACUCACAAUAAUACCUGAUUGAUGGCUUACACUUUUUUUUGUCUUUGCCACAGGCCCCAGCGUCCUCGCACUGGCACAUUUGUUGUCAAAAGCUGUGAUGUAGAUGGUCAAGACCUCUCCACAGUGGACUCCCGCUAUAGCGCAGCUGUUGGACAUUGAGCUGCAGUUGUAGUAACUGUUGUUUCCUGUGUUGCCGAAAGCCUCCACAGUGUAACUUAGAGCCCCCUCGGCGAGGUCCCACUUGCUGAGCAGAACAUUUGAGUUGCAGUUGGCUGAGGUUUGCAUAUUCUGGGGUACACAGGGUGCUGGAGACAGAAAAAGUUUUUUUCAUUA
This is a long non-coding RNA of Etheostoma cragini (Arkansas darter), 1323 nucleotides long. RefSeq lists it as uncharacterized. The transcript has 4 exons. Lineage: Eukaryota; Metazoa; Chordata; Actinopteri; Perciformes; Percidae. The record is from RefSeq and is a predicted model, not a curated record.